GCAGACAUAUUCCAGCCAAUCAGCAGCAGACCCUCCCUCCCAGACCCUCCCACCUCCUGGACAGCAUCCAUUUUGAAGCUGCAUUCUUAGUGAGCUGUCCAGGAGGUGGGAGGGUCUGGGAGGGAGGGUCUGCUGCUGAUUGGCUGGAAUGUGUCUG
This is a non-coding RNA of Pelobates cultripes (western spadefoot toad), 157 nucleotides long. The record is from the annotation of a GenBank genome assembly. Lineage: Eukaryota; Metazoa; Chordata; Amphibia; Anura; Pelobatidae.